UGGGGAAUAUUGCACAAUGGGCGCAAGCCUGAUGCAGCCAUGCCGCGUGUGUGAAGAAGGCCUUCGGGUUGUAAAGCACUUUCAGCAGUGAGGAAAGGGUGUGUUUUAAUAGAGCAUAUCUGUGACGUUAACUGCAGAAGAAGCACCGGCUAACUCCGUGCCAGCAGCCGCGGUAAUACGGAGGGUGCGAGCGUUAAUCGGAAUUACUGGGCGUAAAGCGUACGCAGGCGGUUGAUUAAGCUAGAUGUGAAAGCCCCGGGCUCAACCUGGGAACAGCAUUUAGAACUGGUCGACUAGAGUAUGAUAGAGGGUGGUAGAAUUUCAGGUGUAGCGGUGAAAUGCGUAGAUAUCUGAAGGAAUACCGAUGGCGAAGGCAGCCACCUGGGUCAAUACUGACGCUCAUGUACGAAAGCGUGGGGAGCAAACGGG
This 429-nucleotide ribosomal RNA is filed under the name uncultured bacterium. Its description in RNAcentral is "bacterial SSU rRNA". It matches the Rfam family "Bacterial small subunit ribosomal RNA", at positions 355 to 776 of the family's 1533-position model. The record is from RNAcentral.